UUCCUUUAGUAUAUAUUUAAAGGUAUUGCCUGCCCUAUGUUAAAAUAAAUGGCUGCGGUAUCUUAACUGCACUAAGGUAGCAUAAUUAAUUGUCUUUUAAAUGGUGACCUGUUUGAACGGCUUAAUGAGAAAAAAAUUUUCUUUUAAUUAUAAUAAAAUUAUAUUUCAAGGUUAAAAUACCUGACUAUAAAAAAAAGACGAGAAGACCCUGUUGAGUUUUACAUUAAUAAUAAUGUUAAAAUGGGAAAUUUAACCUUUUUCUAAGGUUUAGUAGAUCCUGGAAUAAAUAGAUUCUGGAUAUAGGAUAAAGUUACCACAGGGAUAACAGGACAAUAUUUGCUAAGAGUUCUAAUUGAAGUAAAUGGUUGUUACCUCGAUGUUGAAUCGAAAUAUCUUUUUGAUGCAGCAGUCAAAAAAGUGGGUCUGUUCGACCUUUUAAAUUUC
RNAcentral lists this ribosomal RNA (444 nucleotides) under Notocomplana hagiyai. RNAcentral describes it as "partial 16S rRNA". It matches the Rfam family "Bacterial large subunit ribosomal RNA", at positions 1829 to 2597 of the family's 2925-position model. Lineage: Eukaryota; Metazoa; Platyhelminthes; Polycladida; Notocomplanidae. The record is from RNAcentral.